GUUGGUUUAACUCGACGCAACGCGCAGAACCUUACCUGGUCUUGACAGUCUCGGGAAUCAUUUGGAAACAUAUGAGUGCCUCGCAAGAGGAGCCGAUGACAGGUGCUGCAUGGCUGUCGUCAGCUCGUGUCGUGAGAUGUUGGGUUAAGUCCCGCAACGAGCGCAACCCUUGUCUUUAGUUGCCAUCAUUAAGUUGGGCACUCUAAAGAGACUGCCGGUGUCAAACCGGAGGAAGGUGGGAUGACGUCAAGUCCUCAUGGCCUUUAUGUCUAGGGCUACACACGUACUACAAUGGCAGGUACAAAGGGCAGCGACACAGCGAUGCGAUGCGAAUCCCGAAAAGCCUGUCUCAGUCCGGAUCGGAGUCUGCAACUCGACUCCGUGAAGUUGGAAUCGCUAGUAAUCGUGGAUCAGCAUGCCACGGUGAAUACGUUCCCGGGCCUU
RNAcentral lists this ribosomal RNA (444 nucleotides) under uncultured Desulfocapsa sp. RNAcentral's name for it is "bacterial SSU rRNA". It matches the Rfam family "Bacterial small subunit ribosomal RNA", at positions 941 to 1382 of the family's 1533-position model. The record is from RNAcentral. Lineage: Bacteria; Pseudomonadati; Thermodesulfobacteriota; Desulfobulbia; Desulfobulbales; Desulfocapsaceae.